Molecule: non-coding RNA, 30 nt
Filed under: Rattus norvegicus (Norway rat)
Lineage: Eukaryota; Metazoa; Chordata; Mammalia; Rodentia; Muridae
Source: RNAcentral
UGAGGUCCUGUUGUCCUUUGAACCAAUUGU